CCCGGAGGAGCAGCUGGGCAUGGGCACAGCCAUCCCACGGACAAGAUCGACGUCUAUUACUUCGGCGUCCUCCUCGUCGAGCUAUGGCACCACCUCGCCCACGGAUAACCUCGACCGGUCGACCCCUAUGACACCACCAAAUGGCGUUGCAGAAGCACGGAGUACAUAGGACGAGACACGGUGGUGGCCAUGGACCCGAGGGUGAGGACGAGACGGUUGUUAGUGGCGGCGAUGGAGAGGAUGCUGGUGAUGGCAGAGCGGUGCGUGACAUCAACGAGGAGGGGCAAUGUGGUGGUCCAGGAGAUAGGAUGAGCCGUGGCAGGAGGCACGGGGCGCCACCGCCACUGGAGACAGGAGCUCCGUGUGGGUGAGUCGAUGAUGCCGACGGCCCGUUUCCAGGCCACCCCACGGCCAGCACGUGGUUCUGAAAGUUAGAUAACAUUUAAUAACGGUAACUUAUGCAGUUGUCGUCUGCGAAUGCUCGUAGGUUAUCGCCCUUGCACAAAUUUUAGUUACCCACAUGUUUAUGUUACAAUGAUCAUCCUGCCAUACUUGUUACCAACCAAGCUUAGAUGUAGUUACCCAGCUUGUGACGUGGGUUGGUAACUAUAUCUACCGUUCAUUGGUAGCUUCAUGCACCGUGGGUUGGUAACUAUAUGCGCCGUGGGAUGGUAACUUCAUGCAGCGUUCGUUGAUAACUAUACGUGCUGUUUCAUUGGUAACUUCAUGCACCGUUCAUUGGUGACUUCAUGCA
Long non-coding RNA from Brachypodium distachyon (stiff brome), 754 nucleotides. RefSeq lists it as uncharacterized. The transcript has 2 exons. The record is from RefSeq and is a predicted model, not a curated record. NCBI's taxonomy places the organism in Eukaryota, Viridiplantae, Streptophyta, Magnoliopsida, Poales, Poaceae.